RNAcentral lists this ribosomal RNA (502 nucleotides) under uncultured bacterium. RNAcentral's name for it is "bacterial SSU rRNA". It matches the Rfam family "Bacterial small subunit ribosomal RNA", at positions 23 to 518 of the family's 1533-position model. The record is from RNAcentral.
CUCAGGAUGAACGCUAGCUACAGGCUUAACACAUGCAAGUCAGGGGCAGCAUGAUCGAAGCUGCUUGAUUGAUGGCGACCGGCGCACGGGUGAGUAACGCGUAUCCAACCUUCCCUAUAGUAGAGAAUAGCCCGGCGAAAGUCGGAUUAAUGCUCUAUGUUGAUUUAGAAGACAUCUGAAGAAUACCAAAGGUUUACCGCUAUAGGAUGGGGAUGCGUCUGAUUAGGUUGUUGGCGGGGUAACGGCCCACCAAGCCCACGAUCAGUAGGGGUUCUGAGAGGAAGGUCCCCCACAUUGGAACUGAGACACGGUCCAAACUCCUACGGGAGGCAGCAGUGAGGAAUAUUGGUCAAUGGACGAAAGUCUGAACCAGCCAAGUAGCGUGCAGGAUGACGGCCCUAUGGGUUGUAAACUGCUUUUAUACAGGGAUAAAGUGAGGGACGUGUCCCUUUUUGUAGGUACUGUAUGAAUAAGGACCGGCUAAUUCCGUGCCAGCCGCAGC